This 452-nucleotide long non-coding RNA is filed under the name Nicotiana tabacum (common tobacco). Its description in RNAcentral is "long non-coding RNA (NTAB_LNC008439)". Lineage: Eukaryota; Viridiplantae; Streptophyta; Magnoliopsida; Solanales; Solanaceae. The record is from RNAcentral.
CAAUUUCUGCAUGUUCCUGUGUCUUCUUUGUUUUAAACGUCUCCGAAGCUUCAGAUCAAUUUUUAGAUCAUCUUCCUCUUUAACCUGGAAGAGAGAGAAGUAAAAAAAUUGUCAUAAGUUGAAUCGACAACCCAGUGAUAACACCAGAAGUUACCUCUCAUCAGCAGAGAAUUCGAAGAAACAAAUGGUCAUUUAAAGGGUGCUUAAAAGAAAAAGAAAUAGUGUGGUGAAAAGGAAGGGGGGAAAAGGUGCAAUGAACACUUCAUCCGGCUCCAUGUCUUCAAGAAAUGAAGUAUUAAUGUCAAAGAAAAGAACUAGAAUAUACCAUUCACAGACCUUCUUAUACUUCCUCUUUUGCUCUUCAGAAAGAUUUAGCUCUCUUUCAUUUGCAAUGGCAUCUGCAACAAAUGGAUCAACAGAACUGUCUUCAAUAUCAUCAAUCUCCUCAACCU